Trichonephila clavipes is the source of this 74-nucleotide non-coding RNA. NCBI's taxonomy places the organism in Eukaryota, Metazoa, Arthropoda, Arachnida, Araneae, Nephilidae. The record is from the annotation of a GenBank genome assembly.
GUCAGGAUGGACGAGCGGUUUAAGGCGGUGCAAUCAGGUUGCGUUGGGCGUUGGUUCGAAUCCCACUUCUGACA